GACUACCGGGGUAUCUAAUCCUGUUUGCUCCCCACGCUUUCGUGCAUGAGCGUCAGUCUUAUCCCAGGGGACUGCCUUCGCCAUCGGUGUUCCUCCACAUCUCUACGCAUUUCACUGCUACACGUGGAAUUCCAUCCCCCUCUGACAGACUCUAGACUCCCAGUUCCAAACGCAAUUCCCAAGUUAAGCUCGGGGCUUUCACAUCUGGCUUAAAAGUCCGCCUGCGCACGCUUUACGCCCAGUAAUUCCGAUUAACGCUUGCACCCUACGUAUUACCGCGGCUGCUGGCACGUAGUUAGCCGGUGCUUAUUCUUCAGGUACUCUCAACCUCACCAGGUAUUAACCAGUAAGUUUUGCUCCCUGACAAAAGUCCUUUACAACCCGAAGGCCUUCUUCACACACGCGGCAUGGCUGGAUCAGGCUUGCGCCCAUUGUCCAAAAUUCCCCACUGCAGCCCCCCGUAGG
Molecule: ribosomal RNA, 465 nt
Filed under: uncultured beta proteobacterium
Lineage: Bacteria; Pseudomonadati; Pseudomonadota; Betaproteobacteria
Description: partial 16S ribosomal RNA
Source: RNAcentral